GGAGAGGUUUAUUUGGCAUUCAUGGUUUCAGAGGGUUCAGUCCUUGGUUGGCUGGCUCUGAGGCAGGAGCAUCAUGGUGGAAGGGUGUGGUGGAGCAAAGUUGUCUAGUUCCCAGCAAGCAGGCAGCACAGCAGGGCAAUGGUGGCAGAGAGGAAGGGAGCAAUUACAGUACCCAGGGCCUCACCUCCAUGACCCACUGCACACAUCCAGAAGUGGGCUUUACUGAUCCCAUGGGCAGCUCUCAAUCCAAUCAAGUUGGCAAUCCAGUUCAACUGUCACAACUGACAUUCUGUCUUUGACCAUGUGAAAGAGAACCACACCAUCUAGAAUAGGAGAGAUGGAAGGAAGAGUUGGAAUAAGACCCAGUCCUUCCAUGCUGAAGCAAACUUUCAAAAAGUGCCCCCUGACUGCCAGGCCUGUCACCCCAGCCUCUGCAGCUGUGUUCCAGAGCCGACUUUAUGUAAAUGCUGGAGGGAGCUGCUCAGCACUUUUCCCCCCGGCCUGGUGACUUCCGCUGCCCAACAGUACUGCCAAAUCUGUCCCCAGCAGCUGCGGCACCUCGUGGCCACCAUGUGGUCGAACUCCCUGGGCCUCAGCUCCCAGCCGCUGGCCAGUCCAGUCUCCCUGUGCCCUGGACACCCGUGACAGUGAGCUGCCCAGGCAGCAGGAAGAGCUCUGGGUCCUCGCUUGCUACUCUGUGUGGCUCUGGAAGGGACUUCGCCCAGCCGCUGGGGCCGGUCAGGAGUGAGGGGAGGGUGUCAGGCUCUGGAGAUGGAGGUGGCGGGUAACGUGUGAAAAGCCCAGUCGCUCCAGCUCAGGCCCUGUCGGGUGUGGAGGAAGCAAGGAGGAGGGAGCCCCCUCAGUGUCUCUGACCUCUCAGCCGCUCUGCUCUGCCAGGUGGCUCAGAGAGAACAGCUCGGGAGAGUUCUCCAGGGUGCCAUUAUUCUCAUCUUGCAGAGGAGGAACCUGAGGCUGAGAAGGGAAGGGACUUGUCCAAGGCUAACGGCUGGGAGGCAACUUCCACAGCCCAGCUACACAGGCCGAGUGCAGAGUCCCUUGCAUGGGUGCCAUCGCCUCCCCCAACCACAGUCCCGCUCUGGAUGCUUCCCUAGUGUCUUCACGUGCACAACAUAUGGUCCUUACUGCUGAAAACCCAAACGGGGGAAGAACCGUUUUAAAACGCGUUAGAAUAUGAAAGAGUGAUACAAAGGCAAACAUUAUCUCAAGAUAGGUGGAAGAAAUACUCCAAAAGAGAUAUGAAACACAGGAGAUAUAAGCAAAUUUCCUGACAGUCAAAAGGAGACAGCACUUCCCACUGAAGGAAAAUUGUAGCAUUGGGCUGGGACUUGAAUAAUAUUUUCCUAGGAGGAGGAGGAGGAUGCUGUUGGGAAGGAAAAAUCUGUCCUCUAUCCCAGUGAUGGCAAACAUUUUAGAGCUUACGAUGAUAACAAACAGCCUCCUAUGGCACAUAUGCCAGAGGUUUGCCACCACUGCAUCUAUCCUUCCAGGAGCAGUAUGUGGGCCUCUGCUAAUUAAACCAUCAAAAGACAGAUUUUAUUCACACACACAGUGUACGUGGGAGUUCAUGAUUACUCAAGGGGGAAGUUGGAAUUUGGGGCUUAUAUACCAUCGUAGUAGGGCAGAAGGGUACUUCUGGGAAAAUAAAUGACUUUUAGGAGAGAUAAAUGAUCUCUUAGGAACAUAGGUUCUCAGAACAAGGAAACUAAAGUACUCCGCCUUGUUAUCCUGAGUGGUUUCCGCCUUGUUAUCCUGAGUGGUUUGAGCUAAAGGACCCUGGGGAAACCUAGGCGGUAUCCUGGUCCGUUUCCUGCUGUCUUGUCUCCUUGUUUUUUCCUGGAACUGAGUCAUAGGAACUAGAUUUCUUCUUCCUCAAGAAGGGUCAUAGAAACUAGAACCCCUUUCCUUGAAAGCAAGCCAUAAAAUCUAGAAAGAUCUCUCUCCGUUCUCCCUUGAAGACUCUCAUUCCAGAGGAGUGCUGUCCCCCACCCCGAAG
Long non-coding RNA from Heterocephalus glaber (naked mole-rat), 2014 nucleotides. NCBI's taxonomy places the organism in Eukaryota, Metazoa, Chordata, Mammalia, Rodentia, Bathyergidae. The record is from Ensembl.